UUAUUAUGUUAUAAUAAGACUACAUUUGUUACAGGAUUGUUUAGUGUAAAUUAGAUGGAAAACUUCACCACUAGGGCUCUGUUAUACCAUCCAACAAGUGCACAGGUGUUAUGGAUAUGAUUGAAAUCCCGUGAGCAAGCUCGACAGGAAUCUGCAUUCAUUAAUGAUCCUUCCGCAGGUUCACCUACGGAAA
Molecule: unclassified non-coding RNA, 193 nt
Filed under: uncultured fungus
Lineage: Eukaryota; Fungi
Description: sequence contains ITS1, 5.8S rRNA gene
Source: RNAcentral